CUACGGGAUGCAGCAGUGAGGAAUAUUGCACAAUGGGGGGAACCCUGAUGCAGCAACGCCGCGUGGAGGAUGACGCAUUUCGGUAUGUAAACUCCUUUUAUAUGUCAAGAAAAUGACGGUAGCAUAUGAAUAAGCACCGGCUAACUCCGUGCCAGCAGCCGCAGUAAUACGGAGGGUGCAAGCGUUACUCGGAAUCACUGGGCGUAAAGGACGCGUAGGCGGGUUGGAAAGUCAGGUGUGAAAUCCUACAGCUUAACUGCAGAACUGCACUUGAAACUUCUAAUCUAGAGUAUGGGAGGGGGAGAUGGAAUUAGUGGUGUAGGGGUAAUAUCCGUAGAUAUCACUAGGAAUACCUAAAGCGAAGGCGAUCUCCUGGAACAUUACUGACGCUAAGGCGUGAAAGCGUGGGGAGCAAACAGGAUUAGAUACCCGCGUAGUC
This 439-nucleotide ribosomal RNA is filed under the name uncultured bacterium. RNAcentral describes it as "partial 16S ribosomal RNA". It matches the Rfam family "Bacterial small subunit ribosomal RNA", at positions 339 to 795 of the family's 1533-position model. The record is from RNAcentral.